Molecule: long non-coding RNA, 357 nt
Filed under: Trifolium pratense (red clover)
Lineage: Eukaryota; Viridiplantae; Streptophyta; Magnoliopsida; Fabales; Fabaceae
Description: long non-coding RNA (TPRA_LNC011128)
Source: RNAcentral
UUAUUGGAAAUGAGUUUUUAUGCAACCAAUUCAGAUAUUCUGAUACUCAUGAAGAUUUUCAUUUUACUUAUAGCUUUUCAUUGCACUUUGUAUGUGUUCCUAGCUGGUGGAAGGCUUUUCGUUUCAUGUCUAAGACAAAAGAUACAAAGAAUGGUGACUUUUUCCAAUAUGGAACUAUGCAUGUGGAGACAUAAUUGAAACAACAGAGGAUUUUUACAUCAAAUAUUGCAUAGGAAUUGGUGGUUAUGGUAGUGUCUACAAAGCAAAGCUACAUAGUGGUAGAUAGUUGCAUUGAAGAAACUCCACAAAGAUAAGGCAUACAAGUAUUUUGAAGCACUGGUAAGCAUGCAUCUAUGC